RNAcentral lists this ribosomal RNA (514 nucleotides) under uncultured bacterium. Its description in RNAcentral is "bacterial SSU rRNA". It matches the Rfam family "Bacterial small subunit ribosomal RNA", at positions 87 to 507 of the family's 1533-position model. The record is from RNAcentral.
UUUGUUGAGUAGCAAACGGGUGAGUAACGCGUGGGAAUCUGCCUUUUUGUGGGGGAUAACUGAGGGAAACUUCAGCUAAUACCGCAUAAGCUCUACGGAGGAAAGGCCUUAUUUCAGUGUUUCAGUAUUGCCGUGUUACAGAAUUACAGAAAAGAUUUUUAAGAUGAAAAAUUCGUGUUUUAUCUCUAAAAGAUUAUUCUGCAAGACUGCAACACCGUAACACUGAACACUGACAAAGGUCGCAAGAAGAGGAGCCCGCGUCAGAUUAGGUAGUUGGUGGGGUAAAGGCCUACCAAGCCAAUGAUCUGUAGCUGGUCUGAGAGGAUGAUCAGCCACACUGGGACUGAGACACGGCCCAGACUCCUACGGGAGGCAGCAGUGGGGAAUAUUGGACAAUGGGGGAAACCCUGAUCCAGCAAUGCCGCGUGAAUGAAGGAGGCCUUAGGGUUGUAAAGUUCUUUCACCUGUGAAGAUAAUGACGGUAGCAGGAGAAGAAGCCCCGGCUAACUCCGUG